This 76-nucleotide small nucleolar RNA is filed under the name Erythranthe guttata (spotted monkey flower). RNAcentral describes it as "Mimulus guttatus (spotted monkey flower) Small nucleolar RNA SNORD18". It matches the Rfam family "Small nucleolar RNA SNORD18". Rfam says of the family: U18 is a member of the C/D class of snoRNA which contain the C (UGAUGA) and D (CUGA) box motifs. It is encoded in introns of ribosomal protein L1 in Xenopus and human, and in introns of elongation factor 1 beta in yeast. The record is from Rfam by way of RNAcentral. Lineage: Eukaryota; Viridiplantae; Streptophyta; Magnoliopsida; Lamiales; Phrymaceae.
GAGAGAUGAUGAAUAAUUUAUUUGGUCCGUGUUUCUGAAUAAAAUUGAUUGAUAAAACCUACCAAUCUCUGAUCUC